UCAGCUGCGCGCCUACUGGCAUAACGUGCGCCAUCCAUCUCCUCAUAUCCUGCACUUCGCGAACCCACCGGAAAAAUCGAAUAAUACUCAUAAUCGCAAAUUGCAAACUCAACCCCCUCCCCCCUUCCUCCUCGACAAAUACUCAAUUUUGCAGCAGGAAAAAAUAGUUAAGUUGAAAAUGUCGUCCAAUUCGAGAACCCUUAAGGGCGAGUCGGAUUGAUUUUGAAUAAAGUCGUUUGUGAUCGAGCUUGAUCGUAUCCCCCGGUCUCGGGAUCGAGAGUGAGAUCGUCUGUGUGUUUGUGUAAUGGUGACGGAGCUUUACAGUUUUGCAUCUCGUUCAUCGGAGAAAAGAAGAAGCCGAUUAGACGAUAUUGGAUCGUAGUGUGAAGCGGAGUUCGGAGGCGGUUUGAAGCGGCCAAUUUUCCUCCCCAUUAUUCAAUGGGUUGAAAGCAAUUGUGGAUCCAAAGCCUGGUGGAACUGGCAGAGGAAUCAAAUUUAAAAUUCAAUCUACGUUUUUCUCAAGUUCUGAGCCCAGCCGAUACUCGAACGGAGAACAAUGCUGAAGGUAGUAGGAGCUUCCUGGAAUCAAAUUCGGCUGAGCUGGUGGCUGCUGGUUGGUGUGGCAAUAUUAGGACUUAUCACCGUAUAUUGCGGAGGACGCCCGAGUGCGGUAGCAGAUCGUAACUACGCUGCAACCGUGUCUUGGAAUCUUGGCACUGGUUACAGAUGCGAGUAUUUUGGACAGAAUAACGCACCGGAUUCGAUCAAAAAGGCGUUGCCAGGGCAUACUAUCAAUCCAAAAUGGUCUCGACUGGGUGAGUUUUCUUCAUUUUUAUUGACAAUUGCUAAACGCAAAGAAAAUAAUGAACAAAUGAUAGACCAUUAAUUCAACGUGAUCUAUUUCGCGUCUGUUGAAACUGAUCCAUGUUUAUGCAGAUGAUAUUUC
Molecule: long non-coding RNA, 946 nt
Filed under: Bemisia tabaci
Lineage: Eukaryota; Metazoa; Arthropoda; Insecta; Hemiptera; Aleyrodidae
Description: lncRNA ENSSSA3NGG013142
Source: RNAcentral